UGCAUACCUUUGUUAUCGUAC
RNAcentral lists this non-coding RNA (21 nucleotides) under Caenorhabditis elegans. The record is from RNAcentral. Lineage: Eukaryota; Metazoa; Nematoda; Chromadorea; Rhabditida; Rhabditidae.